This 506-nucleotide ribosomal RNA is filed under the name uncultured bacterium. RNAcentral describes it as "partial 16S ribosomal RNA". It matches the Rfam family "Bacterial small subunit ribosomal RNA", at positions 29 to 523 of the family's 1533-position model. The record is from RNAcentral.
AGUGAACGCUGGCGGUAGGCCUAACACAUGCAAGUCGAACGGCAGCACAGGAGAGCUUGCUCUCUGGGUGGCGAGUGGCGGACGGGUGAGGAAUACAUCGGAAUCUACUCUGUCGUGGGGGAUAACGUAGGGAAACUUACGCUAAUACCGCAUACGACCUACGGGUGAAAGCAGGGGAUCUUCGGACCUUGCGCGAUCGAAUGAGCCGAAGUCGGAUUAGCUAGUUGGCGGGGUAAAGGCCCACCAAGGCGACGAUCCGUAACUGGUCUGAGAGGACGAUCAGCCACACUGGAACUGAGACACGGUCCAGACUCCUACGGGAGGCAGCAGUGGGGAAUAUUGGACAAUGGGCGCAAGCCUGAUCCAGCCAUACCGCGUGGGUGAAGAAGGCCUUCGGGUUGUAAAGCCCUUUUGUUGGGAAAGAAAUCCAGCUGGCUAAUACCCGGUUGGGAUGACGGUAUCCAAAGAAUAAGCACCGGCUAACUUCGUGCCAGCCGCCGCGGUAA